This is a long non-coding RNA of Spinacia oleracea (spinach), 874 nucleotides long. RefSeq lists it as uncharacterized. The record is from RefSeq and is a predicted model, not a curated record. The transcript is spliced from 2 exons. Lineage: Eukaryota; Viridiplantae; Streptophyta; Magnoliopsida; Caryophyllales; Amaranthaceae.
UCAGUUUUAUUUCUUUCUCUCUCUUCUUCUCGUUUUCUCUCUCUUCCUGCAAUUCCUCUCGACCGACUUCAUCUUCUUCAUGUCUUCAAUUUUCGUUGUUCUUGCAAUUGCUUAACCUUCUUGCGAUUUUAUCUCUCUCAAGUCUCGCAGGUUCCCAUGCGUGCUUCCAUCUGGUCUUGUUCGGCAGACAAAGUGCUGGAUUAUUCUGCCUUUUCUGUUCUAUCUUUUUGUCGCAACCAUCACUUGCCUCAAGUGCAUGCCAUUAAUAUAUUUGUGAAUCCCUGUUGUUCGCUAUAUAUGUUCUAGUAUUCUGUAUUUAUUAUGUACAAUAUACGAGCUUGUAGAAUAACCACCAUCUGAUGUCUCUACUACAAAAUAACCAUCGCCCUUUGAGGUUAUCACAGGAGGGCAUGGAAGAUUGGCAGCCAUGAUGUAGAUAGAAAGAGGAGAAAUCUAGAUCAAUAAAAUUAUGCUAUGGCAAGAGUUGACUUGCGUUGACUUCGUUAAACUAGAUCAAUAAAAUUAUGAUAUGGCAAGAGUUGACUUGCGUUGACUUCAUUAAACUAGGUGUUUAUUGGCUUGCAGUUUAUUUCUAGGGUGAUGCUGUUAUUUUUGCUUGACUUCCCAAUUAAAUGGUCUGAUUUGUUUUCGUUUGGUGCUUCAGGCCUGCUUAGUUAUGUUGGGGAUUACAGUAUUGUUCAGAUUCUCCUCUGUUGCUGCUGUUAAAAUUUUGAUAGGCUUCAGGGUUAUUGUUGAGUAGAUCAAUCGUUUGCUACUAUUUUGUUGCUGCAGUCCUAUAUAUUAUCCUCUGGUGUUAUUUACUUUUUGUUUAAAAACCUUUACUUUGAAUUAUUUCGAUGGUAAGGUAACACUA